Molecule: transfer RNA, 91 nt
Filed under: Thermopolyspora flexuosa
Lineage: Bacteria; Bacillati; Actinomycetota; Actinomycetes; Streptosporangiales; Streptosporangiaceae
Description: tRNA-OTHER
Rfam family: Selenocysteine transfer RNA
Source: RNAcentral
GAGGCGUCAGGGUUCCUGGUGGUCCCCUUGGUCUUCAAAACCAAUGGGCGGCGCACCGCGUCGCCGGCGGGUUCGAUUCCCGUACGCCUCC